UGGGGAAUAUUGGACAAUGGGCGCAAGCCUGAUCCAGCCAUGCCGCGUGAGUGACGAAGGCCUUAGGGUUGUAAAGCUCUUUUGUCGGGGACGAUAAUGACGGUACCCGAAGAAUAAGCUCCGGCUAACUUCGUGCCAGCAGCCGCGGUAAUACGAAGGGAGCUAGCGUUGUUCGGAAUCACUGGGCGUAAAGCGCACGUAGGCGGAUUUGUAAGUCAGGGGUGAAAUCCCGGGGCUCAACCUCGGAACUGCCUCUGAUACUGCGAAUCUCGAGUCCGGAAGAGGUGGGUGGAAUUCCUAGUGUAGAGGUGAAAUUCGUAGAUAUUAGGAAGAACACCGGUGGCGAAGGCGGCCCACUGGUCCGGUACUGACGCUGAGGUGCGAAAGCGUGGGGAGCAAACAGGAUUAGAUACCCCAGUAGUCCCUGAGCGGGCUGGCAAGGCGCAU
Molecule: ribosomal RNA, 447 nt
Filed under: uncultured bacterium
Lineage: Bacteria
Description: bacterial SSU rRNA
Rfam family: Bacterial small subunit ribosomal RNA
Source: RNAcentral